UGAUGGGGAGCGAAAUUUAGUAGCGAAGUAGCUGAUUUCACACUGUCAAGAAAAGUCUCUAUCGAGGUUAAAGGUACCCGUACCGCAAACCGACACAGGUGGGUGAGGAGAGUAUCCUAAGGCCAGCGAGAGAACUGUUGUUAAGGAACUCGGCAAAAUGACCCCGUAACUUAGGGAUAAGGGGUGCCACCAUCAGGUGGCCGCAGAGAAUAGGCCCAAGCGACUGUUUACCAAAAACAUAGGUUUCUGCUAAGUCGCAAGACGAUGUAUAGGAGCUGACGCCUGCCCGGUGCUGGAAGGUUAAGGGGAUCUGUUAGAGCAAUCGAAGCAGUGAACUUAAGCCCCAGUAAACGGCGGCCGUAACUAUAACGGUCCUAAGGUAGCGAAAUUCCUUGUCGGGUAAGUUCCGACCCGCACGAAAGGCGUAACGAUUUGGGCACUGUCUCAACAACAGACUCGGUGAAAUUGUAAUUCCGGUGAAGAUGCCGGAUACCUGCGACAGGACGGAAAGACCCCAUGGAGCUUUACUGUAGCUUGACAUUGGGUCUUGGUACUACAUGUACAGGAUAGGUGGGAGGCUUUGAAACCAGGACGCCAGUUUUGGCGGAGCCAUCCUUGGGAUACCACCCUUGUAGUACUGGGACUCUAACCAUAGGCCAUGAAUCUGGUCUUGGGACACUGUCAGGUGGGCAGUUUGACUGGGGCGGUCGCCUCCCAAAAGGUAACGGAGGCGCUCAAAGGUUCUCUCAGUACGGUCGGAAAUCGUACGUAGAGUGUAAAGGCAAAAGAGAGCUUGAUUGCAAGACAUACAGGUCGAGCAAGGAUGAAAAUCGGACUUAGUGAUCCGGUGGUUCUGCGUGGAAGGGCCAUCGCUCAACGGAUAAAAGCUACCCUGGGGAUAACAGGCUUAUCUCCCCCAAGAGUCCACAUCGACGGGGAGGUUUGGCACCUCGAUGUCGGCUCAUCACAUCCUGGGGCUGUAGUAGGUCCCAAGGGUUGGGCUGUUCGCCCAUUAAAGUGGUACGCGAGCUGGGUUCAGAACGUCGUGAGACAGUUCGGUCCCUAUCCGUCGCAGGCGUAGGAAAUUUGAGAAGACCUGUCCUUAGUACGAGAGGACCGGGAUGGACG
RNAcentral lists this ribosomal RNA (1128 nucleotides) under Clostridioides difficile. RNAcentral describes it as "partial 23S ribosomal RNA". It matches the Rfam family "Bacterial large subunit ribosomal RNA", at positions 1564 to 2703 of the family's 2925-position model. Lineage: Bacteria; Bacillati; Bacillota; Clostridia; Peptostreptococcales; Peptostreptococcaceae. The record is from RNAcentral.